ACGAGCGGCGAACGGGUGAGUAACACGUGGGUGAUCUGCCUCGCACUCUGGGAUAAGCCUGGGAAACUGGGUCUAAUACCGGAUAUGACCACUGGUCGCAUGGUUGGUGGUGGAAAGAUUUAUCGGUGCGAGAUGAGCCCGCGGCCUAUCAGCUUGUUGGUGGGGUAAUGGCCUACCAAGGCGACGACGGGUAGCCGGCCUGAGAGGGCGACCGGCCACACUGGGACUGAGACACGGCCCAGACUCCUACGGGAGGCAGCAGUGGGGAAUAUUGCACAAUGGGCGAAAGCCUGAUGCAGCGACGCCGCGUGAGGGAUGACGGCCUUCGGGUUGUAAACCUCUUUCGACAGGGACGAAGCGCAAGUGACGGUACCUGUAGAAGAAGCACCGGCCAACUACGUGCCAGCAGCCGCGGUAAUACGUAGGGUGCGAGCGUUGUCCGGAAUUACUGGGCGUAAAGAGCUUGUAGGCGGCUUGUCGCGUCGAUCGUGAAAACUCACAGCUCAACUGUGAGCUUGCGGUCGAUACGGGCAGGCUUGAGUACUGCAGGGGAGACUGGAAUUCUUGGUGUAGCGGUGAAAUGCGCAGAUAUCAGGAGGAACACCGGUGGCGAAGGCGGGUCUCUGGGCAGUAACUGACGCUGAGAAGCGAAAGCGUGGGUAGCGAACAGGAUUAGAUACCCUGGUAGUCCACGCCGUAAACGGUGGGUACUAGGUGUGGGUUUCCUUCCACGGGAUCCGUGCCGUAGCUAACGCAUUAAGUACCCCGCCUGGGGAGUACGGCCGCAAGGCUAAAACUCAAAGGAAUUGACGGGGGCCCGCACAAGCGGCGGAGCAUGUGGAUUAAUUCGAUGCAACGCGAAGAACCUUACCUGGGUUUGACAUACACCGGAAACCUGCAGAGAUGUAGGCCCCCUUGUGGUCGGUGUACAGGUGGUGCAUGGCUGUCGUCAGCUCGUGUCGUGAGAUGUUGGGUUAAGUCCCGCAACGAGCGCAACCCUUAUCUUAUGUUGCCAGCGCGUAAUGGCGGGGACUCGUGAGAGACUGCCGGGGUCAACUCGGAGGAAGGUGGGGACGACGUCAAGUCAUCAUGCCCCUUAUGUCCAGGGCUUCACACAUGCUACAAUGGCCGGUACAGAGGGCUGCGAUACCGUGAGGUGGAGCGAAUCCCUUAAAGCCGGUCUCAGUUCGGAUCGGGGUCUGCAACUCGACCCCGUGAAGUUGGAGUCGCUAGUAAUCGCAGAUCAGCAACGCUGCGGUGAAUACGUUCCCGGGCCUUGUACACACCGCCCGUCACGUCAUGAAAGUCGGUAACACCCGAAGCCGGUGGCCUAACCCCUUGUGGGAGGGAGCUGUCGAAGGUGGGAUCGGCGAUUGGG
Molecule: ribosomal RNA, 1378 nt
Filed under: Nocardia paucivorans
Lineage: Bacteria; Bacillati; Actinomycetota; Actinomycetes; Mycobacteriales; Nocardiaceae
Description: 16S ribosomal RNA
Rfam family: Bacterial small subunit ribosomal RNA
Source: RNAcentral